This 72-nucleotide transfer RNA is filed under the name Camelus bactrianus (Bactrian camel). It matches the Rfam family "tRNA". Rfam says of the family: Transfer RNA (tRNA) molecules are approximately 80 nucleotides in length. The record is from Rfam by way of RNAcentral. Lineage: Eukaryota; Metazoa; Chordata; Mammalia; Artiodactyla; Camelidae. RNAcentral also lists the same sequence under 3 other names.
GAGGGUGUAGCUCAAGUGGUAGAGCACAUGCUUAGCAUGCAUGAGGUCCUAGGUUCAAUCCUCAUACCUCCC